RNAcentral lists this ribosomal RNA (806 nucleotides) under uncultured marine bacterium. RNAcentral's name for it is "bacterial SSU rRNA". It matches the Rfam family "Bacterial small subunit ribosomal RNA", at positions 56 to 838 of the family's 1533-position model. The record is from RNAcentral.
UGCAAGUCGAACGGUAACAGGACGCUAGGAUCCCUUCGGGGUGACUUUGUCGCUGACGAGUGGCGGACGGGUGAGUAAUACAUAGGAAUCUACCCAGUAGUGGGGGAUAACUUGGAGAAAKCCAUGCUAAUACCGCAUAUGUCCUACGGGGCAAAGCAGGGGACCCUCGGGCCUUGCGCUAUUGGAUGAGCCUAUGUCGGAUUAGUUAGUUGGUGGGGUAAUGGCCUACCAAGGCAGCGAUCCGUAGCUGGUCUGAGAGGAUGAUCAGCCACACUGGGACCGAGACACGGCCCAGACUCCUACGGGAGGCAGCAGUGGGGAAUAUUGCACAAUGGGCGCAAGCCUGAUGCAGCAAUGCCGCGUGUGUGAAGAAGGCCUGCGGGUUGUAAAGCACUUUUAUUAGGAAAGAAAAACCCGGAGCUAAUACCUCCGGCAUUGACGGUACCUAAAGAAUAAGCACCGGCUAACUCAGUGCCAGCAGCCGCGGUAAUACUGAGGGUGCGAGCGUUAAUCGGAAUUACUGGGCGUAAAGCGAGUGUAGGCGGUUACUUAAGUCGGAUGUGAAAGCCCUGGGCUCAACCUGGGAAUGGCAUUCGAUACUGGGUAACUAGAGUUUGGUAGAGGUAAGUGGAAUUCCGGGUGUAGCGGUGAAAUGCGUAGAUAUCCGGAGGAACAUCAGUGGCGAAGGCGGCUUACUGGACCAAAACUGACGCUGAGGCUCGAAAGCGUGGGGAGCAAACAGGAUUAGAUACCCUGGUAGUCCACGCCCUAAACGAUGUCAACUAGACGUUGGGUUCAUUAAUGAA